CCCUUAGAUGUUCUGGGCCGCACGCGCGCUACACUGAUGCAUUCAACGAGCCUAUCCUUGACCGACAGGUCCGGGUAAUCUUUGAAUCUGCAUCGUGACGGGGAUAGAUUAUUGCAAUUAUUAAUCUUCAACGAGGAAUGCCUAGUAGGCGCAAGUCAUCAGCUUGCGUCGAUUACUUCCCUGCCCUUUGUACACACCGCCCGUCGCUCCUACCGAUUGGGUGUGCUGGUGAAAUGUUCGGAUCGGCCGUUUGUCGCGGUUUCCGCGUCAUGUGGCUGAGAAGUUCAUUAAACCCUCCCACCUAGAGGAAGGAGAAGUCGUAACA
This 325-nucleotide ribosomal RNA is filed under the name uncultured eukaryote. RNAcentral describes it as "partial 18S ribosomal RNA". It matches the Rfam family "Eukaryotic small subunit ribosomal RNA", at positions 1470 to 1796 of the family's 1831-position model. The record is from RNAcentral.